AAAAAGGGUAGGUUGGCUAAAUAUGCCAUUCUUACCCGCGAUGGUGAUAGCUGUAUGCUUAUCAAGACAUAUGGCUAACAUAAUUUGUGGAGCCCUGUAGGGUUGGCUCGCUUGGCCAACAACCCUCAC
This is a small nuclear RNA of Coffea eugenioides, 129 nucleotides long. RefSeq annotates it as U11 spliceosomal RNA. The record is from RefSeq and is a predicted model, not a curated record. The transcript has a single exon. NCBI's taxonomy places the organism in Eukaryota, Viridiplantae, Streptophyta, Magnoliopsida, Gentianales, Rubiaceae.